UACGGGGGGAGCAAGCGUUGUUCGGAUUUACUGGGCGUAAAGGGCGCGUAGGCGGCCAGCACAAGUCAGUUGUGAAAUCUCCGAGCUUAACUCGGAAAGGUCAACUGAUACUGUGCGGCUAGAGUGCAGAAGGGGCAACUGGAAUUCUUGGUGUAGCGGUGAAAUGCGUAGAUAUCAAGAGGAACACCGGUGGCGAAGGCGGCUCUCUGGACGGUGACUGACGCUGAGACGCGAAAGCGUGGGGAGCAAACAGG
RNAcentral lists this ribosomal RNA (254 nucleotides) under uncultured bacterium. Its description in RNAcentral is "partial 16S ribosomal RNA". It matches the Rfam family "Bacterial small subunit ribosomal RNA", at positions 524 to 776 of the family's 1533-position model. The record is from RNAcentral.